AGAGUUUGAUCCUGGCUCAGGACGAACGCUGGCGGCGUGCCUAAUACAUGCAAGUAGAACGCUGAAGAGAGGAGCUUGCUCUUCUUGGAUGAGUUGCGAACGGGUGAGUAACGCGUAGGUAACCUGCCUUGUAGCGGGGGAUAACUAUUGGAAACGAUAGCUAAUACCGCAUAACAAUGGAUGACACAUGUCAUUUAUUUGAAAGGGGCAAUGCUCCACUACAAGAUGGACCUGCGUUGUAUUAGCUAGUAGGUGAGGUAACGGCUCACCUAGGCGACGAUACAUAGCCGACCUGAGAGGGUGAUCGGCCACACUGGGACUGAGACACGGCCCAGACUCCUACGGGAGGCAGCAGUAGGGAAUCUUCGGCAAUGGGGGCAACCCUGACCGAGCAACGCCGCGUGAGUGAAGAAGGUUUUCGGAUCGUAAAGCUCUGUUGUAAGUCAAGAACGAGUGUGAGAGUGGAAAGUUCACACUGUGACGGUAGCUUACCAGAAAGGGACGGCUAACUACGUGCCAGCAGCCGCGGUAAUACGUAGGUCCCGAGCGUUGUCCGGAUUUAUUGGGCGUAAAGCGAGCGCAGGCGGUUUGAUAAGUCUGAAGUUAAAGGCUGUGGCUCAACCAUAGUUCGCUUUGGAAACUGUCAAACUUGAGUGCAGAAGGGGAGAGUGGAAUUCCAUGUGUAGCGGUGAAAUGCGUAGAUAUAUGGAGGAACACCGGUGGCGAAAGCGGCUCUCUGGUCUGUAACUGACGCUGAGGCUCGAAAGCGUGGGGAGCGAACAGGAUUAGAUACCCUGGUAGUCCACGCCGUAAACGAUGAGUGCUAGGUGUUGGAUCCUUUCCGGGAUUCAGUGCCGCAGCUAACGCAUUAAGCACUCCGCCUGGGGAGUACGACCGCAAGGUUGAAACUCAAAGGAAUUGACGGGGGCCCGCACAAGCGGUGGAGCAUGUGGUUUAAUUCGAAGCAACGCGAAGAACCUUACCAGGUCUUGACAUCCCGAUGCUAUUUCUAGAGAUAGAAAGUUACUUCGGUACAUCGGUGACAGGUGGUGCAUGGUUGUCGUCAGCUCGUGUCGUGAGAUGUUGGGUUAAGUCCCGCAACGAGCGCAACCCCUAUUGUUAGUUGCCAUCAUUCAGUUGGGCACUCUAGCGAGACUGCCGGUAAUAAACCGGAGGAAGGUGGGGAUGACGUCAAAUCAUCAUGCCCCUUAUGACCUGGGCUACACACGUGCUACAAUGGUUGGUACAACGAGUUGCGAGUCGGUGACGGCAAGCUAAUCUCUUAAAGCCAAUCUCAGUUCGGAUUGUAGGCUGCAACUCGCCUACAUGAAGUCGGAAUCGCUAGUAAUCGCGGAUCAGCACGCCGCGGUGAAUACGUUCCCGGGCCUUGUACACACCGCCCGUCACACCACGAGAGUUUGUAACACCCGAAGUCGGUGAGGUAACCUUUUGGAGCCAGCCGCCUAAGGUGGGAUAGAUGAUUGGGGUGAAGUCGUAACAAGGUAGCCGUAUCGGAAGGUGCGGCUG
RNAcentral lists this ribosomal RNA (1527 nucleotides) under human gut metagenome. RNAcentral describes it as "bacterial SSU rRNA". It matches the Rfam family "Bacterial small subunit ribosomal RNA". The record is from RNAcentral.